This 465-nucleotide ribosomal RNA is filed under the name Vreelandella stevensii. RNAcentral's name for it is "partial 16S ribosomal RNA". It matches the Rfam family "Bacterial small subunit ribosomal RNA", at positions 338 to 795 of the family's 1533-position model. The record is from RNAcentral. Lineage: Bacteria; Pseudomonadati; Pseudomonadota; Gammaproteobacteria; Oceanospirillales; Halomonadaceae.
CCUACGGGUGGCUGCAGUGGGGAAUAUUGGACAAUGGGCGAAAGCCUGAUCCAGCCAUGCCGCGUGUGUGAAGAAGGCCUUCGGGUUGUAAAGCACUUUCAGUGGGGAAGAAAGCCUUGGAGCUAAUACCCUAGAGGAAGGACAUCACCCACAGAAGAAGCACCGGCUAACUCCGUGCCAGCAGCCGCGGUAAUACGGAGGGUGCGAGCGUUAAUCGGAAUUACUGGGCGUAAAGCGCGCGUAGGCGGUCUGAUAAGCCGGUUGUGAAAGCCCCGGGCUCAACCUGGGAACGGCAUCCGGAACUGUCAGGCUAGAGUGCAGGAGAGGAAGGUGGAAUUCCCUGUGUAGCGGUGAAAUGCGUAGAGAUCGGGAGGAAUACCAGUGGCGAAGGCGGCCUUCUGGACUGACACUGACGCUGAGGUGCGAAAGCGUGGGUAGCAAACAGGAUUAGAUACCCGAGUAGUC